AGCAACANCUGACGCUGAUGGACGAAAGCGUGGGGAGCGAACAGGAUUAGAUACCCUGGUANNNCNCGCNGUAAACGAUGNUAACUCGUUUUUGGGGCUUUAAGCUUCAGAGACUAAGCGAAAGUGAUAAGUUAGCCACCUGGGGAGUACGGACGCAAGUCUGAAACUCAAAGGAAUUGACGGGGGCCCGCACAAGCGGUGGAUUAUGUGGUUUAAUUCGAUGAUACGCGAGGAACCUUACCAAGGCUUAAAUGGGAAAUGACAGGUUUAGAAAUAGACUUUUCUUCGGACAUUUUUCAAGGUGCUGCAUGGUUGUCGUCAGCUCGUGCCGUGAGGUGUUAGGUUAAGUCCUGCAACGAGCGCAACCCCUGUCACUAGUUGCCAUCAUUAAGUUGGGGACUCUAGUGAGACUGCCUACGCAAGUAGAGAGGAAGGUGGGGAUGACGUCAAAUCAUCACGGCCCUUACGCCUUGGGCCACACACGUAAUACAAUGGCCAGUACAGAGGGCAGCUACCAGGCGACUGGAUGCGAAUCUCGAAAGCUGGUCUCAGUUCGGAUUGGAGUCUGCAACUCGACUCUAUGAAGCUGGAAUCGCUAGUAAUCGCGCAUCAGCCAUGGCGCGGUGAAUACGUUCCCGGGCCUUGUACACACCGCCCGUCAAGCCAUGGAAGUCUGGGGUACCUG
RNAcentral lists this ribosomal RNA (685 nucleotides) under Chryseobacterium sp. 74_a_1. RNAcentral describes it as "bacterial SSU rRNA". It matches the Rfam family "Bacterial small subunit ribosomal RNA", at positions 732 to 1423 of the family's 1533-position model. Lineage: Bacteria; Pseudomonadati; Bacteroidota; Flavobacteriia; Flavobacteriales; Weeksellaceae. The record is from RNAcentral.